GACGAACGCUGGCGGCGUGCUUAACACAUGCAAGUCGAACGGUGAUGCUCCAGCUUGCUGGAGUGGAUCAGUGGCGAACGGGUGAGUAACACGUGAGCAACCUGCCCCAGACUCUGGAAUAAGCGCUGGAAACGGCGUCUAAUACUGGAUACGAAACUGGCCCGCAUGGGCAUGGUUUGGAAAGUUUUUCGGUUUGGGAUGGGCUCGCGGCCUAUCAGCUUGUUGGUGAGGUAAUGGCUCACCAAGGCGACGACGGGUAGCCGGCCUGAGAGGGCGACCGGCCACACUGGGACUGAGAGACGGCCCAGACUCCUACGGGAGGCAGCAGUGGGGAAUAUUGCACAAUGGGCGAAAGCCUGAUGCAGCGACGCCGCGUGAGGGAUGACGGCCUUCGGGUUGUAAACCUCUUUCAGCAGGGAAGAAGCGAAAGUGACGGUACCUGCAGAAGAAGCACCGGCUAACUACGUG
This 468-nucleotide ribosomal RNA is filed under the name uncultured bacterium. RNAcentral's name for it is "partial 16S ribosomal RNA". It matches the Rfam family "Bacterial small subunit ribosomal RNA", at positions 28 to 507 of the family's 1533-position model. The record is from RNAcentral.